Clupea harengus (Atlantic herring) is the source of this 674-nucleotide long non-coding RNA. The record is from Ensembl. Lineage: Eukaryota; Metazoa; Chordata; Actinopteri; Clupeiformes; Clupeidae.
AACUCGCAGAUGUACAUUGAGGCAGUGCCUGUGUCUGUGGGCAUUAUUAUUAAGAGGUGGUGCAGUCGAUAAAACCAGUCAGGUGAGCCCACCGCACGGCGAGCCAUUCAAACUUAAAGGCAUAUUUUUCCAACAAGAGUGUUGAGCUGUGCUGUAGGAUUUGUGAAUUGCUGACAAGACAAUUGGGUCUGAGUCAUUGAAACUGCCACCAGGGAAUCUGUGAAAAGGUGAUGUGGACAGUCACCUGCGAAGGGUUGUAGCUAUAAAGCAGUGACAUGUAGGCAGUGUGUCUGUUUUCACAAGCCUUCCUCUCCUAGCCAUUACCCGACACCUACACAGACUUUUAUGGCAGAGGAAGCCCCACUUCUCCUUAAAUUCUAAAAUUGUGAAUGUGAACCAGAAAUGUGCAUCGGAGCUACUGAAGACUGAGCUAUCUGCCCUGAGUGAGCUAUCUGCCCUGGGUGAGGUAUCUGCCCUGGGUGAGGUAUCUGCCCUGGGUGAGCUAUCUGCCCUGGGUGAGGUAUCUGCCCUGGGUGAGGUAUCUGCCCUGGGUGAGGUAUCUGCCCUGGGUGAGCUAUCUGCCCUGGGUGAGCUAUCUGCCCUGAGUGAGGUAUCUGCCCUGGGCGAGCUAAAGUGCCGCUCUCAGAGAGGGGGGACGGCGGGGGGGUGCAGCU